This 758-nucleotide long non-coding RNA is filed under the name Hordeum vulgare. RNAcentral describes it as "long non-coding RNA (HVUL_LNC002268)". The record is from RNAcentral. Lineage: Eukaryota; Viridiplantae; Streptophyta; Magnoliopsida; Poales; Poaceae.
GUAAAAAGAUGUUUUAUUCAUUAGCAAACAGAAAAUGGUGAAAAUAAGAUUAUUACAAGAGAAAAGAUGUUAGUGGUGUGUACAGAGACCCAACACUCAUGUAGCAAGAUUUAAAGUAAUUGACAUAUUGACCUAAUCACUACGAGUCUGCUUUCAUAUAAACUAAUAUAUUGAUAAGCACUCGAGAAGACCAUAUAUACCACUUUAUCACUUCUCCCUGGAACAAUCAAUUGUCCUUUUAGAGAAUUCAUUAGCCUAGAUGAUAUCUGAAGGAAGCACAAAUCCAUAAGAACUGCGGGCAUUCUCCAAGCAGCAAUGUGUAUGCAAAAAAAUGAACGAAACUGGGCUGUAUCACCAAAUUUGUAGUCAUCCAAAUCUUUGUUCGAAACCUUUCUUUUUUUAAAUUAAACUAACAAUGUUUUAAAUUUCUUCUAACAUAUGUCUGUGUUCUAGUUUUGGUAGCCCUACGAAUCUGAUACUUGUGCAUCUCGACCUAUUUUGGUAGUCCUGCAUAUCGCAUACUUGUGCAUUUCAGAUACUUGUGCAUUUCGGAUAUUCUAGGAACAUCAUUUCCUUUGAUAUGCUUAUCCUAUGUUAUCCUGCAUGAGCAAUGGGAUUAGAUAUGUAAUUUUUGCUCACUGCAAUAAACAUUUCUGCCACUUUGGCAAAACUUAUGGUAGUUGAAUUAAUCUAAUGUUGGUACCAACCAAAAGAUGGCAUAUAUUAAUUCUUGUUCAUUAGAUUGUUAGUUGUAGUGC